This 74-nucleotide transfer RNA is filed under the name Nocardia niigatensis. Its description in RNAcentral is "tRNA-Ile". It matches the Rfam family "tRNA". From Rfam's summary of the family: Transfer RNA (tRNA) molecules are approximately 80 nucleotides in length. Their secondary structure includes four short double-helical elements and three loops (D, anti-codon, and T loops). Further hydrogen bonds mediate the characteristic L-shaped molecular structure. tRNAs have two regions of fundamental functional importance: the anti-codon, which is responsible for specific mRNA codon recognition, and the 3' end, to which the tRNAs corresponding amino acid is attached (by aminoacyl-tRNA synthetases). tRNAs cope with the degeneracy of the genetic code in two manners: having more than one tRNA (with a specific anti-codon) for a particular amino acid; and 'wobble' base-pairing, i.e. permitting non-standard base-pairing at the 3rd anti-codon position. The record is from RNAcentral. RNAcentral also lists the same sequence under 3 other names. Lineage: Bacteria; Bacillati; Actinomycetota; Actinomycetes; Mycobacteriales; Nocardiaceae.
GCCCCUGUAGCUCAAUAGGUUAGAGCCGACGACUCAUAAUCGUCUGGUUGCCGGUUCGAGCCCGGCCGGGGGCA